This is a long non-coding RNA of Callithrix jacchus (white-tufted-ear marmoset), 3256 nucleotides long. The record is from Ensembl. NCBI's taxonomy places the organism in Eukaryota, Metazoa, Chordata, Mammalia, Primates, Cebidae.
UUCUCAGCUUCUAGAGGCUGCCUUCAUCCCUUGGCUCGUGGCCCCCUUCACUCCUCAAAGCCAGCGAUGUCUGAUUGAGUCUUUCCUGCAUCCCAUCACUCAGAUGUGGACUUUCCACUGCCUCUUUCACUUUCAAGGACCCUGUGCUUACAGUGGGAUCACCAGAUUGGAGUGCAAUGGUGUGAUCUCGGCUCUCUGCAACCUCUGCCUCCCAGGUUCAAGUGAUUCAUUCUCCUGCCUCAGCCUCCUGAGUAGCUGGGAUUAUAGGCAUGCACCACCAUGCCCAACUAAUUUCAUAUUUUUAGUAGAGGUGAGGUUUCUAAUUCCCAUGUUGGUCAGGCUAGUCUCGAAUUCCCAACCUCAGGUGAUCCGCCCACCUCGGGCUCCCAAAGUGCUGAGAUUACAGGCGUGAGCCACUGCACCUGGCCAGUUUUUGUAGUUUCAACCAAUAAAACUGCUCAGAAAAGGAAAGACCAGGUGGCUUUGACACUGACCAGCCCUUAACUUGUCAUCCUAGGGGUUCUGACCCUCCAUCGAGUCCCCCUUUGUGUCAGUCCUAACCCUCCCCACCUGUAGGACUCCCUUCCACUGCCCAGGGGCUCGGCAUUGAUUACUGUCAGCAACUCCCAAUUCUUGAGCUCUGACUUGUGCCAAGUGCUUCUCUGAAUUACUUCCUUCUCUCUACCCCCCACCUCCAGCGGAAGGUCAUCUUAUUUUCCCUAUUUUCUUUUUUCAGAUAAGAAGACAAGCUCAGAGAGAGGACAGGACUUCCCCUAGCCAGCAAGUGGUGGAGCCAGCACCAAAAGCCAGGCUGUCUGCCUCCCAACCAGGCUCUUAGCUCCACACUUCCACUUUCACAGGGAAGAUGGUAUCUGCUAACCCCUCCCUCUGAUGAGGUCCAGUGUGUAGGUCAGAGCUGGAAAGGACCAGAGGAGUGACCUAAUCCUAUGAUUCUAACCAGUUCAUAAAUCCACCCCACCCCCAACACAUACCAGCCUCAUCAUCAUCAAAGAAACUGGACCUCCCCCGCCCCCCACUCCGUGAAAGAAGCAGAGGCCCUCUUUCAGGAAGAAGCAGAGGCCCUCUUUCAGGAAGAAGCAGAAGAGAGAUGUUUUUGCUGGUCUGUUUAUGGUGUAGGUAGGGGCAGGCUGAAUGAUGGUGAUUUCAGUGGGGUUAUUGGGAGCCAAUGUUAUUGCUAUGGCUUUAAAACACAAACAGAAAAGGAAUCUGUUAGUCACCGAGGAGUGUCCUAAGCCUGUUGAGUAAUCCGCCUGCUGGCCAUGGUACCUGUGAAGCACAGGGAUGAUACAUGAAAUUCCACAGCCAAAUUCUUGGACACUUGUGGGUGGGUGUGGGGCCCCUGGGGCACGGGGCUCAUGGGCUUCAUUCUGGAAACCUGCUUCCUACCAGUGGACUGAGCACCCUGCUCUAGUUCAACUUCUCAUUCCAUAGAUAGGGAAACAGAGGCCUAGAAAGGAGAAAUGGUUUGCCCAAGGUCACCCAGCAUCUUCAGGACAGGAUCAGGGCGGGAGGCCAGUUCCUGCUGGCUGUCUACAGUCUGGGAGGACAGUGAGUGCUCUCCAGCUGUGGCUGAGGUCCCAUGCUAUGUUCUCCAGCCCCUUCUGACCAGCUUUCCUCCUCCCUCUGACAGCUUUCCAUUCCCUGGCUGACCCCAGACCCUCUUCCCCUCCCCUCUGCAGAUAAGGCUGCCAGGUUUUCCAGAGAGGCUUGGUGACAGGGUGUGGCUUCCAGAAUGUCCAGAAGUAGGGAUGGGCUAGAGAGAGGUCAGGAUUUGUGUCUCGUCUCCCCUACCCUAAGCCUGUCCAUUCACAGCUGUGUGGGUGGAUCCAGAUACUCUCUGGGAUUUGUCAAGUAGGCAAAGAGACCAAAGAUUUCCCCAAAAUCCAAUCAGAAAGAGCCUGCCUGGUAGAAACAAAGACUGGGAAAGAUGUGGCCAGAGCUUUGACUUCUGAGCACUGGAGAUCCUAGCCAAUAGUGUGAGCCUGUCAUUUCCCUGGCCUGGGCCCCCACUUUCCUCUCCUUAAAAUGGUAUAGGGAUGUUCAUCCAUUCAGCAAGACUUUGCUGAGUGCCCAGUCAUCAAAGUCAAUACUUCAGUGCUUACCAUGUACCAGGUACUGAGCUAAGUCACUUUCUGUUCAUUCUCUCAUUUAAAUCCCACAACAACCUUAAAGCUAGGUUUUAUAUUUCCUAUUCAAAUGGUAGGAGAACUGAGGCUUAGGGAGUUAUAACCACACAUCCAGGGAUCCACAACAGAUCCAGAGUCCAUACCCAGGGGCCGAUGGGCCACAUUCUAAAAGUAUUUUCAGCUGGAACAGGAAUCUGAGGUCCAGCCAUGGAGGCAACCCUUAGAGGAGAAUCCUCACCCUGGGUACAGAACUGAGUCCUGGGGCCCAGCCACCCUGAGUCUGAGAGAAGGGCACCUGGUCACGUUCAUCAUGAUAUCACGGGUCACCUGGCUACCAGGGGGUCCUGUCAGCAGAGCUAGAAGGCACAGAGCUUUCCCAGUCCCUGACCCUCUGCCCGCUGUCUAAGCAGCCGGUGUGGGUGCUGUGAAGGAAGCUGGGUUCUCAUUCUAAAGCCACCAGGAAACCAACCCGGCAUCUCAUAGGCUUGCGAUUUGAUCCCUCAAAGAGUCCUGGGACCUGGGGAUACUGGCCUCAUUUACUAGAUGGAGACAUUGAGGCCCUAAAAUGUGAAGUGACUAGUUCAGAGCCACCCAGGGCUGUGAUUUGACCCGGGUCUGUCUGCGCAUAGCCCAUGGUUUUCACUGUCCCAAGCACCAAGCCAUAUUUGUAACAGGACAUCCCAUGAGGCACUACACCUCUGUGGGCCUCAGUCUCCAUAAUGUGGGGAAACUCAUGCCUGCCUUUGUUAAAUGUGCUGGGAGAUUUCAGUGAGAUCACAGAUGGAGACAUGCUUUAAAGUUCCACCCACGACUGACAUUUUGCUAUUAUUAUGUGAUUUCAUGAGAAUUGGUGACUCUUUAGGCUCAAAAGUAUCUUCUGCUCUGGCCUGCCCCGGAACCUAAAAUGUCACCUUUAGGGGCCAGGCACAGUGGCUCAUGUCUGUAAUCCCAGCACUUUGGGAGGCUGAGGUGGGAGGAUUGUUUGAACCCGGGAGUUUGAGACAAAACUUAGCAACAAAAUGAGACCCUGUCUCUAGAAAAAAUUUAAAAAUUAGCCAAGUGUGGUGGUGUGCACCUGUGGUCCCAGCUAUACAGGUGCAAGGGAGGCU